CUAGUGGCGCACGGGUGAGUAACGCGUGGGAACCUACCUUUUAGUACGGGACAACGUCUGGAAACGGACGCUAAUACCGUAUACGCCCUCCGGGGGAAAGGCUUGCCGCUAAAAGAGGGGCCCGCGUCUGAUUAGCUUGUUGGUAAGGUAAUGGCUUACCAAGGCUACGAUCAGUAGCUGGUCUGAGAGGAUGAUCAGCCACACUGGGACUGAGACACGGCCCAGACUCCUACGGGAGGCAGCAGUGGGGAAUAUUGGACAAUGGAGGCAACUCUGAUCCA
Molecule: ribosomal RNA, 281 nt
Filed under: uncultured bacterium
Lineage: Bacteria
Description: partial 16S ribosomal RNA
Rfam family: Bacterial small subunit ribosomal RNA
Source: RNAcentral